GCCAGACUCCUACGGGAGGCAGCAGUGAGGAAUAUUGGUCAAUGGUCGGGAGACUGAACCAGCCAAGCCGCGUGAGGGAUGAAGGUACAGAGUAUCGUAAACCUCUUUUGUCAGGGAACAAAGGCGGGGACGUGUCCCCGGAUGAGUGUACCUGAAGAAAAAGCAUCGGCUAACUCCGUGCCAGCAGCCGCGGUAAUACGGAGGAUGCGAGCGUUAUCCGGAUUUAUUGGGUUUAAAGGGUGCGCAGGCGGUCUGUUAAGUCAGCGGUAAAAGCCCGGGGCUCAACCCCGGCGAGACGUUGAAACUGGGGAUCUUGAGUGGGCGAGAAGUAUGCGGAAUGCGUGGUGUAGCGGUGAAAUGCAUAGAUAUCACGCAGAACUCCGAUUGCGAAGGCAGCAUACCGGCGCCCGACUGACGCUGAGGCACGAAAGCGUGGGGAUCGAACAGGAUUAGAUACCCCGGUA
This 464-nucleotide ribosomal RNA is filed under the name uncultured bacterium. Its description in RNAcentral is "bacterial SSU rRNA". It matches the Rfam family "Bacterial small subunit ribosomal RNA", at positions 330 to 792 of the family's 1533-position model. The record is from RNAcentral.